AUGGCGAAUAGUGGGAAUAGACGCGUGGGGGACGGGAACAAUGUCAUGUUUGCAUUAAUGACCUGGACGCCGAUCAAAAUGUAGUGAACCGUAAGACGAAAGUUGUCAUUUUGUGUUUAGUGACGGUGUUCCGCGAGAUUGAAUGUAAAAAAUGGCUCAACGAUAUUCAAGGCUCAAAAAUUCAAAGCAAUCAUCAAUAGUAUAAACACACCAGCAUCUACAGAUCACCUAUUUGUUACAUCGCCACGAGCAUGCACAUUUCAAGCGGCCGACUAAACUUCGCAUAAGUUAGGGUAUACCACGUCGUCAAAA
Leguminivora glycinivorella is the source of this 312-nucleotide long non-coding RNA. RefSeq lists it as uncharacterized. Lineage: Eukaryota; Metazoa; Arthropoda; Insecta; Lepidoptera; Tortricidae. The transcript is spliced from 2 exons. The record is from RefSeq and is a predicted model, not a curated record.